AUGAAGUCGGUGAUAUAUUUUUAGGCGGCUUCAGUAACGGAGUGUCGAAAAUGGUAACGGACGGCGCUAUGCUGACAGUAAAUCUGGACCGACGUUCUCCAAGCCCUGCACCCUUUCCACCGUGUCACUACUGGACUUUUCCGAGCCUUUUUGGUAUGGACUGUUCACUCCACCCUGAGACAGCCUGGUCUCUUCGUCUUUCCUGAGCAGCAGGUUCACUGAUCACAAAGUGCUCACUCUUUGAUUGGCCCGUCUCAUUUACGGAGGCAUCAACCCACAAGCCGUGUUUCUUGUCUGCGUCCAUUGGCGUGGGCGACACGUCAUUGAUAGGUGACCUGUGAGUUGACAUUCCACUUAGUUUCCCAGCAAGUAAAAGUCAAAAACGUGCUUAUUCAAUACCUUAAUUUCAU
Non-coding RNA from Doryrhamphus excisus (bluestripe pipefish), 410 nucleotides. The record is from RefSeq and is a predicted model, not a curated record. NCBI's taxonomy places the organism in Eukaryota, Metazoa, Chordata, Actinopteri, Syngnathiformes, Syngnathidae.